AUUGAACGCUGGCGGCAUGCUUUACACAUGCAAGUCGAACGGUAACAGGCCUUCAGGUGCUUACUAGUGGCGACCGGGUGAGUAAUGCAUCGGAACGUACCCAGAGGUGGGGGUUAACGCAGCGAAAGCUGUGCUAAUACCCCAUGUGAUCUCAUGCUGACAACGGGGGACCGCGCAGCAAUGUUUGGCCUCGCGCCUUUGGAGCGGCCGAUGUCGGAUUAGCUAGUUGGCGGGGUAAAGGCCUACCAAGGCGACGAUCCGUAGCUGGUCUGAGAGGACGAUCAGCCACACUGGGACUGAGACACGGCCCAGACUCCUACGGGAGGCAGCAGUGGGGAAUGUUGGACAAUGGGCGCAAGCCUGAGCCAGCAAUGCCGCGUGCGGGAAGAAGGCCUUCGGGUUGUAAACCGCUUUUGGCAGGAACGAAACGGUGUCCGCUAAUACCGGGCGCUAAUGACGGUACCUGCAGAAUAAGCACCGGCUAACUACGUG
RNAcentral lists this ribosomal RNA (492 nucleotides) under uncultured bacterium. RNAcentral's name for it is "partial 16S ribosomal RNA". It matches the Rfam family "Bacterial small subunit ribosomal RNA", at positions 30 to 507 of the family's 1533-position model. The record is from RNAcentral.